CCGAGUUAUCAACUCCCAACCCCUGUGAAUCAUACCUACUUGUUGCCUCGGCGGACUCAGCCGCUCCCGUACGGGACGGCCCCAAGACCCUCUGAACUCUUUUCUAAUAAUGUAUCUUCUGAGGGUAAAACCAUAAUGAAUCA
Molecule: unclassified non-coding RNA, 143 nt
Filed under: soil metagenome
Description: partial internal transcribed spacer 1
Source: RNAcentral